GAAAUCAUUCCAGGUAAACACUCUAAUACCUUUACCAUACAGAAAAAACUCGAGCACUUGCAGACAUGUUUUUGAUUCAAUUAUGUUGCUGUAAAUUAAUUAUAUAGUCUUUAUUGAAUGGCGUCAGUGUGAAAUAUUAAAAAAAAUAUUAGUUGAAGCACAUUAAAUAUUUUGAAUGGUAAUAGCAUAUAAAACUAUUGUAUCCCCAAGGAUUGAAAUAAUAGAUAGAAAAUUAGAUAGAUGAAUUAUUUUUACAGACACGAGUGUAAGUAGUCAAUAGCGUUCUCCCAUCCCGCCUGGUCGGAAUUCCCGUCGGAGCGCGGGGAGAGAACGCCCGAAAGAAAUAAACACACGCCGCGCGUUGAGUCGUCGCUAAAUAUGGGAACGCGCCGAUUUCUCGUACCCCGCGCUGACUUCGGACCAAAAACGGCGACCGAAGCUGCCGCCUGUACUA
Molecule: long non-coding RNA, 454 nt
Organism: Ctenocephalides felis (cat flea)
Lineage: Eukaryota; Metazoa; Arthropoda; Insecta; Siphonaptera; Pulicidae
Exons: 3
Source: RefSeq, a predicted model, not a curated record